UGGGGCGUAGUCAAGCGGUAAGACACAUGGUUUUGGUCCAUGCAUUCGCGGGUUCGAAUCCUGCCGCCCCAACCA
RNAcentral lists this transfer RNA (75 nucleotides) under bacterium DOLZORAL124_64_63. RNAcentral describes it as "tRNA-Gln". It matches the Rfam family "tRNA". Rfam says of the family: Transfer RNA (tRNA) molecules are approximately 80 nucleotides in length. Their secondary structure includes four short double-helical elements and three loops (D, anti-codon, and T loops). Further hydrogen bonds mediate the characteristic L-shaped molecular structure. tRNAs have two regions of fundamental functional importance: the anti-codon, which is responsible for specific mRNA codon recognition, and the 3' end, to which the tRNAs corresponding amino acid is attached (by aminoacyl-tRNA synthetases). tRNAs cope with the degeneracy of the genetic code in two manners: having more than one tRNA (with a specific anti-codon) for a particular amino acid; and 'wobble' base-pairing, i.e. permitting non-standard base-pairing at the 3rd anti-codon position. The record is from RNAcentral.